Molecule: ribosomal RNA, 463 nt
Filed under: uncultured Desulfovibrio sp.
Lineage: Bacteria; Pseudomonadati; Thermodesulfobacteriota; Desulfovibrionia; Desulfovibrionales; Desulfovibrionaceae
Description: bacterial SSU rRNA
Rfam family: Bacterial small subunit ribosomal RNA
Source: RNAcentral
ACAAGCGGUGGAGCAUGUGGUUUAACUCGACGCAACGCGCAGAACCUUACCUAGACUUGACAUCCCGGGGAUUUUCUGGAAACAGAGAAGUGCUUUAGCAAUAAAGAACCCGGUGACAGGUGCUGCAUGGCUGUCGUCAGCUCGUGCCGUGAGAUGUUGGGUUAAGUCCCGCAACGAGCGCAACCCUCGCCUUUAGUUGCCAGCAUUCAGUUGGGCACUCUAGAGGGACUGCCGGUGUCAAACCGGAGGAAGGUGGGGAUGACGUCAAGUCCUCAUGGCCUUUAUGUCUAGGGCUACACACGUACUACAAUGGCCGGUACAAAGGGCAGCCACUCAGCGAUGGGGCGCUAAUCCCAUAAAGCCGGUCUCAGUCCGGAUCGCAGUCUGCAACUCGACUGCGUGAAGUUGGAAUCGCUAGUAAUCGUAGAUCAGCAUGCUACGGUCGAAUACGUUCCCGGGCCUU